CUUUUUGUGGCUUCUAAGGCUACUGCCACGAGUAAAUGUCUUUCCACACUCCAUGCAUUUAAAUGGUUUCUCUCCUGUGUGUAUAUUUUUGUGCCUUUUAAGAACACUACCAUGAGUAAACGUCUUUCCAUACUCUAUGCAUUUAUAUGGUUUCUCUCCUGAGUGGAUCUUUUUGUGACUUCUAAGGGCACUGCUCUUAGUAAAGGUCUUUCCACACUCCAUGCAUUUAAACGGCUUCUCUCCUGUGUGAAUCUUUUUGUGGAUACCAAGUCUACUGCUGAGAGCAAAGGUCUUUCCACAUUCCAGGCAUUUAAAUGGCUUUUCUCCAAUAUGGAUCUUUUUGUGAAUUUCAAGUUUACUGCUGAGAGCAAAGGUCUUUCCACACUCCAUGCAUUUAUAUAGUUUCUUCCCUGUGUGAAUCAUUUUACGGAUGGUAACUUGUCUGCUUGUUCUAAAACAUUUUCCAUAUUCAAAACAUUUAUAAGGCUGCUCUUUUGCAUCAACCACUUUUUGAGAUGUAAGGAACUUAUUCCCAAGAGAAAGAAAGAACAUCCCAUUGGAAUUCUCUCCAUUGUGUCUUGUUAUAGCAUCUUCUCCUUUGUUUUGGGUUAAAUAGUGUUCAUUUACUUGUACUUUAGCUUUGAUUAGCUUCACACUUUUUCCAGUAUAUUUUUUCCUUAUUUUCUCUUGUUGGGCAAGAAAGUCUUGCAUCAGAGCAUCAGUGGAAGAUGAGCUUUCCUGAUUCCAAUUCUUUGACUGGUUUCUCUCGUGGCUUUCAAAUUCCAUUCGAAUUCCAAACUUCUCUGUUCCAUCUUUAGCACUGAUCACUUGGAACAGUUCACAGGAAUCUUGAUUCUCCUGCGUAGUAUUACCUUCAAAACAAAAGGGAAAUGAAAAUGAUAACGAUGUUGGACAAAAAGUUCAAAGUGUAGGAAGUCAAGUGAAUUUCCUUCUGAAUUUCUCCGAAAUUCCAUUAGGUUGUAUGUUUGCAUGCCUACAGUGGUGUGAUAUAGACAUAACAGAUAACAG
Non-coding RNA from Notechis scutatus (mainland tiger snake), 1029 nucleotides. The record is from RefSeq and is a predicted model, not a curated record. Lineage: Eukaryota; Metazoa; Chordata; Lepidosauria; Squamata; Elapidae.